UACGUAGGGUGCAAGCGUUGUCCGGAAUUAUUGGGCGUAAAGAGCUCGUAGGCGGUUUGUUGCGUCGGCUGUGAAAUCCCGAGGCUCAACCUCGGGUCUGCAGCCGAUACGAGCAAACUAGAGUGUUGCAGGGGAGACUGGAAUUCCUGGUGUAGCGGUGAAAUGCGCAGAUAUCAGGAGGAACACCGGUGGCGAAGGCGGGUCUCUGGGCCGAUACUGACGCUGAGGAGCGAAAGCGUGGGGAGCAAACAGG
RNAcentral lists this ribosomal RNA (253 nucleotides) under uncultured bacterium. RNAcentral describes it as "partial 16S ribosomal RNA". It matches the Rfam family "Bacterial small subunit ribosomal RNA", at positions 524 to 776 of the family's 1533-position model. The record is from RNAcentral.